This 70-nucleotide ribosomal RNA is filed under the name Faecalimonas umbilicata. RNAcentral describes it as "partial 23S ribosomal RNA". The record is from RNAcentral. Lineage: Bacteria; Bacillati; Bacillota; Clostridia; Lachnospirales; Lachnospiraceae.
AGAUAGGACAGAGGUGGAAGUGCAGUAAUGUAUGGAGCUGACUGUUACUAAUCGGUCGAGGGCAUAACCA